CCUACGGGAUGCAGCAGUAGGGAAUCUUCCACAAUGGGCGCAAGCCUGAUGGAGCAACACCGCGUGAGUGAAGAAGGGUUUCGGCUCGUAAAGCUCUGUUUUUGGAGAAGAACGUGCGUGAGAGUAACUGUUCACGCAGUGACGGUAUCCAACCAGAAAGUCACGGCUAACUCCGUGCCAGCAGCCGCGGUAAUACGUAGGUGGCAAGCGUUAUCCGGAUUUAUUGGGGGUAAAGCGAGCGCAGGCGGUUGCUUAGGUCUGAUGUGAAAGCCUUCGGCUUAACCGAAGAAGUGCAUCGGAAACCGGGCAACUUGAGUGCAGAAGAGGGAGGUGGAACUCGAUGUGUAGCGGUGGAAUGCGUAGAUAUAUGGAAGAACACCAGUGGCGAAGGCGGCUGUCUGGUCUGCAACUGACGCUGAGGCUCGAAAGCAUGGGUAGCGAACAGGAUUAGAUACCCGAGUAGUC
RNAcentral lists this ribosomal RNA (465 nucleotides) under uncultured bacterium. Its description in RNAcentral is "partial 16S ribosomal RNA". It matches the Rfam family "Bacterial small subunit ribosomal RNA", at positions 338 to 795 of the family's 1533-position model. The record is from RNAcentral.